GGGGGAUAUUGCACAAUGGGGGAAACCCUGAUGCAGCGACGCCGCGUGGAGGAAGAAGGUUUUCGGAUUGUAAACUCCUGUCGUUAGGGACGAUAAUGACGGUACCUAACAAGAAAGCACCGGCUAACUACGUGCCAGCAGCCGCGGUAAAACGUAGGGUGCAAGCGUUGUCCGGAAUUACUGGGUGUAAAGGGAGCGCAGGCGGGAAGACAAGUUGGAGGUGAAAACCAUGGGCUCAACCCAUGAAUUGCUUUCAAAACUGUUUUUCUUGAGUAGUGCAGAGGUAGAUGGAAUUCCCGGUGUAGCGGUGGAAUGCGUAGAUAUCGGGAGGAACACCAGUGGCGAAGGCGGUCUACUGGGCACCAACUGACGCUGAGGCUCGAAAGCAUGGGUAGCAAACAGGAUUAGAUACCCUGGUAGUCCAUGCCGUAAACGAUGAUUACUAGGUGUUGGGGGAUUGACCCCCUCAGUGCCGCAGUUAACACAAUAAGUAAUCCACCUGGGGAGUACGACCGCAAGGUUGAAACUCAAAGGAAUUGACGGGGGCCCGCACAAGCAGUGGAGUAUGUGGUUUAAUUCGAAGCAACGCGAAGAACCUUACCAGGUCUUGACAUCCGAUGCAUAGCACAGAGAUGUGUGAAAUCCUUCGGGACAUCGAGACAGGUGGUGCAUGGUUGUCGUCAGCUCGUGUCGUGAGAUGUUGGGUUAAGUCCCGCAACGAGCGCAACCCUUAUUGCCAGUUACUACGUUAAGAGGACUCUGGCGAGACUGCCGUUGACAAAACGGAGGAAGGUGGGGAUGACGUCAAAUCAUCAUGCCCUUUAUGACCUGGGCUACACACGUACUACAAUGGCGUUAAACAAAGAGAAGCAAGACCGCGAGGUGGAGCAAAACUCAAAAACAACGUCUCAGUUCAGAUUGCAGGCUGCAACUCGCCUGCAUGAAGUCGGAAUUGCUAGUAAUCGCGGAUCAGCAUGCCGCGGUGAAUACGUUCCCG
Molecule: ribosomal RNA, 997 nt
Filed under: uncultured organism
Description: bacterial SSU rRNA
Rfam family: Bacterial small subunit ribosomal RNA
Source: RNAcentral